CCUACGGGUGGCAGCAGUGAGGAAUAUUGGUCAAUGGACGAGAGUCUGAACCAGCCAAGUAGCGUGAAGGAUGACUGCCCUAUGGGUUGUACACUUCUUUUAUAUGGGAAUAAAAUGUUCCACGUGUGGGAUUUUGUAUGUACCAUAUGAAUAAGGAUCGGCUAACUCCGUGCCAGCCGCCGCGGUAAUACGGAGGAUCCGAGCGUUAUCCGGAUUUAUUGGGUUUAAAGGGAGCGUAGGUGGAUUGUUAAGUCAGUUGUGAAAGUUUGCGGCUCAACCGGAAAAUUGCAGUUGAAACUGGCAGUCUUGAGUACAGUAGAGGUGGGCGGAAUUCGUGGGGUAGCGGUGAAAUGCUUAGAUAUCACGAAGAACUCCGAUUGCGAGGGCAGCUCACUGGACUGCAACUGACACUGAGGCUCGAAAGUGUGGGUAUCAAACAGGAUUAGAUACCCCAGUAGUC
RNAcentral lists this ribosomal RNA (460 nucleotides) under uncultured bacterium. Its description in RNAcentral is "partial 16S ribosomal RNA". It matches the Rfam family "Bacterial small subunit ribosomal RNA", at positions 338 to 795 of the family's 1533-position model. The record is from RNAcentral.